UACAGAGGGCAGCUACCCAGCGAUGGGAUGCGAAUCUCGAAAGCCUGUCUCAGUUCGGAUUGGAGGCUGAAACCCGCCUCCAUGAAGUUGGAUUCGCUAGUAAUCGCGCAUCAGCCAUGGCGCGGUGAAUACGUUCCCGGGCCUUGUACACACCGCCCGUCAAGCCAUGGAAGCUGGGGGUGCCUGAAGUUCGUGACCGGAAGGAGCGACCUAGGGCAAAACCGGUGACUGGGGCUAAGUCGUAACAAGGUAGC
This 254-nucleotide ribosomal RNA is filed under the name uncultured bacterium. RNAcentral's name for it is "partial 16S ribosomal RNA". It matches the Rfam family "Bacterial small subunit ribosomal RNA", at positions 1238 to 1500 of the family's 1533-position model. The record is from RNAcentral.